UAUAAGUAAACUACUGAAAAUGUUAGCUUAGGCCAACUUACUGAGUUCUUCUUAACACUGGAUAUGUUUUUAAGCUGUAGUGACAGUUCCAUCUAUAGGAAACGUGCCUGAUAAGGGCUUCCUUGAAAAUCUAGACAUGCGCUGUUAUUGAAAUUGUCCUGCUGGGUUUGAUUUUCACUUUGGAAGCAAGUGUGUUGCCUGGCUGAGCCCAUAUUCAAAGGCUGGGUGGACUGAUCCCCCGCAAGACACUUGAAGGUUAAGUAACUGCGGAUCUCCGCUAAUCUGGCUAAGCUGCUGAUGUUAAAUGUCGGCUGGCAUCCCGGGGCACCAGAUUCUACAUGCUCCUGAUUUACCACUUACCUUUUGUUCAGCCAGCCACUCUGGAGCUAUGUGGCCCUUUGCAUGCCUGUGCCUUGUGCUUGGUUUUCUGGGACGAGUGAGCUGCACCUGUCCCUCUCAGUGCACCUGUGAUCAUCAGGGCAGAAAUGACGGCUCAGGAUCAAGGCUUGCUGAGAUGUUUCCCUGAUGGUCAUUUUAAUGCCGUGUAUCCCAAUUUUGAACGCCAUUUUCUUUUCAAAAGUGCUUAUUCACUGUGAGCAAUUCAGAUGGGUGUGGAGGGUAAGUAGUUCUUCAGACUGGACCAAAUCUAAGAUUUGAGAUUCUUCCCACACUUAGGACAGUAUUUUUUUUUUAUUCAUGCU
This 701-nucleotide long non-coding RNA is filed under the name Cricetulus griseus (Chinese hamster). Its description in RNAcentral is "lncRNA (ENSCGRG00000024502.1)". The record is from RNAcentral. Lineage: Eukaryota; Metazoa; Chordata; Mammalia; Rodentia; Cricetidae.